AUAUUAUUAAGCGGAGGAAAAGAAACUAACAAGGAUGCCCUCAGUAACGGCGAGUGAAGCGGGCAAAGCUCAACCUGAAAAUCGAUUAUCCAAGCGGGUAUUCGAAUUGUGGGCUACAGACGCAUGAUCAGUGUGUGACCUAGGUAUAAAUCUUUUGAAACAAGGUAUCAUAGAGGGUGGAGAACUCC
Molecule: ribosomal RNA, 188 nt
Filed under: uncultured eukaryote
Lineage: Eukaryota
Description: partial large subunit ribosomal RNA
Rfam family: Eukaryotic large subunit ribosomal RNA
Source: RNAcentral